RNAcentral lists this transfer RNA (78 nucleotides) under Acidobacteriota bacterium. RNAcentral describes it as "Acidobacteria bacterium (activated sludge metagenome) tRNA-Ser". Lineage: Bacteria; Pseudomonadati; Acidobacteriota. The record is from RNAcentral.
GCGAGAAACAGGCUGAAACAGACUUUGCACUGGCUACGAACCAAAAGGUCGCACGUUCGAGUCGUGCCGGGCGCACCA